GCAGUUUGUGAAUCAGGGUCGGAGUGUCCUAUCCUAAGCUCAAGGUUCACUUUUUCAAUUUGCAUAUGCAGCUAGCAAAGUAUGAUACUUACCAAAAUCUAUGUGUUAUCUCUUCUCGUUUGACCUGUUGCAAAUAAGUUCAGGCUGGGACGAAAGAACGGUCCCCCAAAUGGUGAUUCUGAUAUAUUAUGUUCCAUGCCUAAAAAUUGGAUUUGGGUAUUUCAUUGAGGUGCUUAAUUAAGCUGGUGUAUUGUAGGUACAAGUCUAGCACCAAGGAGAUGUAGUGAAGGAGCUAUUGCUUUUUACCACCAAGGAGCACUUACAUGAAGAAUCGGCUAUGGUCAAGGCCAUUGCAUAUUGCUGCCAGUCAAGGCCACUUAGGUUCAUUAUACUUUUGCUUUCUCUUGAAAGAAUAGUAAUCACCAUUUUAGUGUUGCAAACGAUGUUUCAGAUUUGUAAGAAGACUAAUUGAAGAGACUGACAAGUCUUGGUGCUUCUGUGACUUAUGUGAGUAUUGAUGUCAUCCAUAUCAAAGAAGGCUUGCAGCUGUGGGGAGCAAGAGCCUUAGUACUGAUGCUUAAUUUUUGAUAUAUAAGUAUAAUAUCUUUGUAAUAGUUUUAUUUGUUAGCUUAGUCUUGAAGUUUAAAUUUUGAAUGGUAUAUCUAUAAUGAUAUUGAACUUGUUUGAGGCAUUGAAAAUAAAUACAGAAUUGUAUAGGUGCCAAAUUGGCACCUCAUUUUUUUUUAAAUUUAACCUCACAACUUUGCCACUGAUAUCAGUGGGCACUACAU
Long non-coding RNA from Argentina anserina (silverweed cinquefoil), 791 nucleotides. RefSeq lists it as uncharacterized. The record is from RefSeq and is a predicted model, not a curated record. Lineage: Eukaryota; Viridiplantae; Streptophyta; Magnoliopsida; Rosales; Rosaceae. The transcript is spliced from 3 exons.